GCCAUGUUAGUACAGUGGUGAGUAUCGGGCACGUCGAAAUAAUCGGAAACGACUACUAGACUCCUUCUGGAGUGCGCGGGGCCUGGGUUCGAUUCCCAGACAUGGUC
Molecule: non-coding RNA, 107 nt
Organism: Podospora didyma
Lineage: Eukaryota; Fungi; Ascomycota; Sordariomycetes; Sordariales; Podosporaceae
Source: the annotation of a GenBank genome assembly